GUGUCAGCCGCCGCGGUAAUACGGAGGGUGCAAGCGUUGUCCGGAAUCAUUGGGUGUAAAGGGUGCGUAGGCGGGCUAUUAUGUCUGGGGUGAAAUCUUGCCGCUUAACGGUAAAAUGGCCUUGGAUACUGGUAGUCUUGAGUGUAGAAGAGGCAGGUGGAAUUCGUAGUGUAGCGGUGAAAUGCAUAGAUAUUACGAAGAACAUCAGUGGCGAAGGCGGCCUGCUGGUCUACAACUGACGCUGAGGCACGAAAGCGUGGGGAGCGAACAGGAUUAGAUACCCUGGUAGUCCACGCUGUAAACGAUGCAUACUAGGUGUUGGCCUUUUGGGGUCAGUGCUGCAGUUAACGCAUUAAGUAUGCCGCCUGGGGAGUACGGUCGCAAGACUGAAACUUAAAUGAAUUGGCGGGG
RNAcentral lists this ribosomal RNA (411 nucleotides) under uncultured prokaryote. RNAcentral's name for it is "bacterial SSU rRNA". It matches the Rfam family "Bacterial small subunit ribosomal RNA", at positions 505 to 918 of the family's 1533-position model. The record is from RNAcentral.